GAUGAAGAACGUAGCGAAAUGCGAUAAGUAAUGUGAAUUGCAGAAUUCAGUGAAUCAUCGAAUCUUUGAACGCACAUUGCGCCCGCCAGUAUUCUGGCGAGCAUGCCUGUUCGAGCGUCAUUUCAACCAUCAAGCCCCAGGCUUGUGUUGGAGCCCUGCGGCUGCCGCAGCCUCCCAAAACCAGUGGCGGGCUCGCUAUCACACCGAGUGAAGUAGUUUACUCUUCGCUCAGGGCGUGUGGCGGGUGCUAGCCGUGAAACCCCCAACUUCUCAAGGUUGACCUCGGAUCAGGUAGGAAUACCCGCUGAACUUAAGCAUAUCAAUAAGCGGAGGA
RNAcentral lists this unclassified non-coding RNA (334 nucleotides) under soil metagenome. Its description in RNAcentral is "partial contains 5.8S ribosomal RNA, internal transcribed spacer 2, and large subunit ribosomal RNA". The stretch from base 1 to 120 matches the Rfam family "5.8S ribosomal RNA", at positions 35 to 154 of the family's 154-position model. The record is from RNAcentral.